This 1387-nucleotide long non-coding RNA is filed under the name Homo sapiens (human). RNAcentral describes it as "HSALNT0192897". Lineage: Eukaryota; Metazoa; Chordata; Mammalia; Primates; Hominidae. The record is from RNAcentral.
CGAGCCACCGCGCCUGGCCUUGGCUGAAAAACCAAGUGACAUUAAUUGAUACUGGACACAAUCUGUGAUAUCAGUGAUUAAGUUGGAGUUAUGCAAGUGGAUCAUUUGCCACCAACCAGAAAAUAAGGAUUCCUUUCAAGUGGAUGUGGGAUAUGAAUAUUUUUUGGCACAAGACAGUAGUUCAAUUGGUAAAAAUUUCAUCAAUGGUGACUUUGGAGAAUGUCAUGUUGCAGGUGAAUGUCCUAACCAGGACAAUAUUCAUGCAUUUGAAAAAUCCAGCGUGAGAAACAUAGAAAGGAAGAAGACCAUCACCAGAGAUGAAUGGACAUUUGAUAUUACCAAGAAUAUGCAUAAUGACUUGGAAGUUACCAUUUGAACAAUUGACAUUCUUGAGCAUCUUAGGUUGGAUUUCCUAGGAACAGAACCUGUGACAGGAAUUCAGGUGGAGCUGUUUUAGGCUGGGUGCUGUGGCCCAGGCCUGGAAUCCCAGCACUUCAGAAGGCCAAGGCAGGAGAAUCGCUUGAGCCCAGGAGUUCAAGAGCAGCCUGGGCAACAUGUUGAAACAUCAUCUCUAUACAAAUAUACGCACAAAAAUUAGCUGGACAUGGUGGUGUGCACCUGUAGUCCUAACUACUCAGGAAGCUGUGGUGGAAGAAUCACUUGAGCCCAGGAGGUCGAGCCUGCAAUAAGCUGUGAUUGCACCACUGCACUCCAGCGUGGAUGACAGAGCAAGACACCCUGUCUCAAAAAAAAGACUAUACAACAGAGCUCUGAAAAAGAUCACACUUUCAGAACGGGGCCAUAGCAGGCAUAAAAGCAACAAUUUAUCAAACUGCCUGAGGGAAUGAUGUAAAAAAUGCUCAUCAAGAAUAUCCAUCUGGACAGGACAAAAAAUGACGCUGAGAGGACUUUGGAGAGUUUCUACCCAGUUUUCCUAAAUUCCAGGAAGUUUUCUUAGUAGAAAUGAUGAUGACUGAAAGCUACUUCAUUUCUGGGAUACUUGAGACUUCUGGUCUGCAUAUGUGACUGUAGGAAGAAAUAAAUAAUUUAUGUUUUGGAAAAACCCUAAUUACCUAAAGAUGACUCUCAUGGAGUAAAAGGGAAAUGGGCAUUUGUCUUGUUUUCCCAAACUCUUUCAGUACUCAGUGAAUAAAAAUUAAGGUAACAACAUGAAUUCAGAAGGGCUUCUUAUUUGAGCUCUCUUACCUGUGCAGACUUAUAUUAUUGUGUGUGUGACAGGCAUUUUCCUUAUUUUAUUUUAUACAAUGUGUGUGAAUAAAUUUUUAUACAACUUCUUUUAUUAAAGGCAGAGAAUGCUUCAGCUUACCUUUGUAUUAUCUACAUUUUGGAAACAGAAUGAAUAUUCAAAUGUUGAAUUAGCUCGAAU